CAGAGUCAUUAUGGGUUUAACACCCUAAUACUCCACCCUUUGUUUACAUUACCUUUGUUGCUUUGGCAGGCCCGCUUCGGCCGCCGGCUCUUUGCUGGUCAGUGCCUGCCAGAGGACCUAAAACUCUUGUUAAUCAUAUUGUCUGAGUACUAUAUAAUAGUUA
Molecule: unclassified non-coding RNA, 163 nt
Filed under: uncultured Leotiaceae
Lineage: Eukaryota; Fungi; Ascomycota; Leotiomycetes; Helotiales
Description: sequence contains ITS1
Source: RNAcentral